RNAcentral lists this ribosomal RNA (464 nucleotides) under uncultured bacterium. RNAcentral describes it as "partial 16S ribosomal RNA". It matches the Rfam family "Bacterial small subunit ribosomal RNA", at positions 339 to 795 of the family's 1533-position model. The record is from RNAcentral.
CUACGGGAUGCACCAGUGGGGAAUUUUGGACAAUGGGCGCAAGCCUGAUCCAGCAAUGCCGCGUGCAGGAAGAAGGCCUUCGGGUUGUAAACUGCUUUUGUACGGAGCGAAAAGGCUCUCUCUAAUACAGGGGGCUCAUGACGGUACCGUAAGAAUAAGCACCGGCUAACUACGUGCCAGCAGCCGCGGUAAUACGUAGGGUGCAAGCGUUAAUCGGAAUUACUGGGCGUAAAGCGUGCGCAGGCGGUUUUGUAAGACAGGCGUGAAAUCCCCGGGCUCAACCUGGGAAUGGCGCUUGUGACUGCAAGGCUGGAGUGCGGCAGAGGGGGAUGGAAUUCCGCGUGUAGCAGUGAAAUGCGUAGAUAUGCGGAGGAACACCGAUGGCGAAGGCAAUCCCCUGGGCCUGCACUGACGCUCAUGCACGAAAGCGUGGGGAGCAAACAGGAUUAGAUACCCCGGUAGUC